GACGAACCGUGCAAACGUUGUUCGGAAUCACUGGGCUUAAAGGGCGCGUAGGCGGCUCAUCAAGUCGGGGGUGAAAUCUUUCGGCUCAACCGGAAAAGUGCCUUCGAUACUGAUGAGCUAGAGCGAGGUAGGGGCAGAUGGAACUUCCGGUGGAGCGGUGAAAUGUGUUGAUAUCGGAAGGAACGCCGGUGGCGAAAGCGAUCUGCUGGACCUCUUCUGACGCUGAGGAGCGAAAGCCAGGGGAGCAAACGGG
Molecule: ribosomal RNA, 253 nt
Filed under: uncultured bacterium
Lineage: Bacteria
Description: partial 16S ribosomal RNA
Rfam family: Bacterial small subunit ribosomal RNA
Source: RNAcentral